UGGGAGAAUGGUAUCCACUGCUACUAUGA
This 29-nucleotide non-coding RNA is filed under the name Rattus norvegicus (Norway rat). Lineage: Eukaryota; Metazoa; Chordata; Mammalia; Rodentia; Muridae. The record is from RNAcentral.